UGAAUGUCUUUGAGAAAUCGGGGUAUGC
RNAcentral lists this small RNA (28 nucleotides) under Bombyx mori (domestic silkworm). RNAcentral describes it as "ovarian small RNA-31201". The record is from RNAcentral. Lineage: Eukaryota; Metazoa; Arthropoda; Insecta; Lepidoptera; Bombycidae.